This 205-nucleotide ribosomal RNA is filed under the name uncultured bacterium. RNAcentral describes it as "partial 16S ribosomal RNA". It matches the Rfam family "Bacterial small subunit ribosomal RNA", at positions 568 to 774 of the family's 1533-position model. The record is from RNAcentral.
AGCGCAGGCGGGAAGACAAGUUGGAAGUGAAAACCAUGGGCUCAACCCAUGAAUUGCUUUCAAACUGUUUUCUUGAGUAGUGCAGAGGUAGAUGGAAUUCCCGGUGUAGCGGUGGAAUGCGUAGAUAUCGGGAGGAACACCAGUGGCGAAGGCGGUCUACUGGGCACCAACUGACGCUGAGGCUCGAAAGCAUGGGUAGCAAACA